CCUACGGGAGGCAGCAGUGGGGAAUCUUGGGCAAUGGGCGCAAGCCUGACCCAGCAACGCCGCGUGAAGGAAGAAGGCUUUCGGGUUGUAAACUUCUUUUCUCAGGGACGAAGCAAGUGACGGUACCUGAGCAAUAAGCCACGGCUAACUACGUGCCAGCAGCCGCGGCAAUACGUAGGUGGCAAGCGUUAUUCGGAUUUACUGGGGGUAAAGGGCGUGUAGGCGGGAAAGCAAGUCAGAUGUGAAAACCAUGGGCUCAACCUGUGGCCUGCAUUUGAUACUGUUUUUCUUGAGUAAUGGAGAGGCAGACGGAAUUCCUGGUGUAGCAGUGAAAUGCGUAGAUAUUGGGAGGAACACCAGUGGCGAAGGCGGGCUGCUGGACAGCAACUGACGCUGAGGCGCGAAGGCGAGGGGAGCAAAAAGGAUUAGAUACCCCGGUAGUC
RNAcentral lists this ribosomal RNA (443 nucleotides) under uncultured bacterium. RNAcentral's name for it is "partial 16S ribosomal RNA". It matches the Rfam family "Bacterial small subunit ribosomal RNA", at positions 338 to 795 of the family's 1533-position model. The record is from RNAcentral.